GUCCACCAACAACAGGCAGUGAAGAGCCUGCCAGUAAGUCACACACUCACUGGUCAACGUCAGGGCCAUUAUCAACCAUUUCAACCCCAAGAUUGAGUCCUACGCUGCAGUGAACCACAUCUCCCAGCUGUCUGAGGACCAGGUUUUGGAGGUGGUUCGGUCCAACUAUGACACGCUGACCCUGAAGCUGCAGGAUGGUCUGGACCAGUUUGAGAGAUACUCUGAACAACCCAAGGAGGCUGCCUUCUUUAAAGACCUGGUGAGAGGGAACAGUAUAAACACACACACAGUACAUGGGACAUGAUACAUGCUUGUAUUGGUAAAGUUGGUGUCUCACUCAUAGUCCUGCACAAUUAGUUGAAUUCACAUCAAAUCGUCAAAAAUAUUGACAUAUUUUGAA
This is a long non-coding RNA of Salvelinus sp. IW2-2015, 400 nucleotides long. RefSeq lists it as uncharacterized. The record is from RefSeq and is a predicted model, not a curated record. Lineage: Eukaryota; Metazoa; Chordata; Actinopteri; Salmoniformes; Salmonidae.